Caenorhabditis brenneri is the source of this 71-nucleotide non-coding RNA. The record is from the annotation of a GenBank genome assembly. NCBI's taxonomy places the organism in Eukaryota, Metazoa, Nematoda, Chromadorea, Rhabditida, Rhabditidae.
ACCUGCGUGGUGUAGCGGUUAACGCUGGUGUCUGAGAAUCUGUGGACGCGGGUUCGAUUCCGCGGGGGGUC